UCUCCAUUAAUUCUCCUUCAUUUCCUCUUAACUUUGUAUUUGUAUUUGUAUAUAUUUAUAUUUAUAUAAUUAAAAAAGAGGUCUUCGAUUUCGUUGUGGUUUUUUUCCCCGAUCCCUAUGACAAUUCGGUAAUUCCUGCUUGUGUGUUUUGCUUUUUUUAUCUCAUCAACUACCAAAAAUAGGGAAUAUUGCCUUACUCAAUCCCUGCACAAAAACGCAGAGAGUAUGAUCAAUAUUCUGCACUUUAAAUUGAAAUUAAUUUAUUGAUAUAUCCUUACUUUUCUUCUAGUUGAUACAUAAAUGGCUUCAAUUUCUUCUAGUCCUUGUACAGCAGAAGAUAUUUUUAAAGAUUAUAGCGGUCGUUAUGGCGGGAUAGUUCGUGCUUUAAUUCAUGUGCACAUUUGCUUCUAUUCUUUGAGGUGGAUUUUUCCAAUUCAGUUGAUAAUUCCAGGGAUAUUUCUAAAAGGUGUCAAUUUGGCUAUGUUGUUCCUAUAGUAAUUGAUGUUUCAGUUCAACGAUACACUAAGUUAGUCCGAUUGUACUCAACAAUUCAUAAAAUGCCAGGUCAUACUCACAAAUGCAACAACAAUGCCAUUUGAAUUCAGAUUCGAUAACCCAUUUGGUGUAUCUCCCAAGAUUCUGGACCCUAUAUGUCAUCCUAUUCGUUGUUGUGUGUCUGUGCAUGAUGUGUGUUGGCCUUCUGCUGGGACUGGGAGGGUAAACAAGGGAUCAAAUUUAGAUAUUAUCAUGAUGCUAAUAUUGCUGACAAGAUAGAGAACCAGGAUCAGUCAAAUAAGAGGUGUAUUCACCUGAUUACAUUAAGUAAUCCUUUAAUAGUGAAAAACUGUUUACCAGUUGAAGUAUCUGUCAUGAUUGAGGGUGGUGGAGUUUCACAUAGCAUGCUGCUUUCAGAGGUUGGUAUCUCUAUCUUCCACAUUUUCUUUAUGUCCUUAUAAUUUAUUUCAUCAUGAGUUAUACUUUUCUAACAUCUGCAGGUUGAAACUUCUUUUUAUCAUAUUGAUUCUUCUCAUGAUCUUUCGUUAACUUUUGAUAUACGCGGGUUUAGAGC
Molecule: long non-coding RNA, 1069 nt
Organism: Lactuca sativa (garden lettuce)
Lineage: Eukaryota; Viridiplantae; Streptophyta; Magnoliopsida; Asterales; Asteraceae
Source: RefSeq, a predicted model, not a curated record